UUGCUUCAGCAGCACAUAUAUUAAAAUUGGAAUGAUACAGAGAAGGUUAGCAUACCCCCUGCACAAAGAUGACAUGCAAAUUCAUGAAGCAUUUUACACACAC
This is a small nuclear RNA of Physeter macrocephalus (sperm whale), 103 nucleotides long. Lineage: Eukaryota; Metazoa; Chordata; Mammalia; Artiodactyla; Physeteridae. The record is from Ensembl.